GUGGUACACUGCUCUGGUGCUUGCCUACGCCUCAACCUGGCAGAAAGAGAUGCGAGAAAGGAAUGAGGAAUAUUAAAGAUGAAUCACUGAACAUUACAGUGAGUGGAGACGACAGAAGCAAUGGGAGGUGAGGACGCUCGGCCAGCAGCCGCGUGGCUUCUUUUGCUCUCCUUCAGCACGCCGUGACUCCUUGAAGCUCUCUCCAUCACCUGGCUCCCAUUCUGAUUAUGUUCCCGAGCCUGGAUGGAGACUGAGCUGAAAGUGCUUCUUGCUCCUGGUGAAAUGCCCUCCGGCACGCCAAGGCCAGGA
Nothoprocta perdicaria is the source of this 309-nucleotide long non-coding RNA. RefSeq lists it as uncharacterized. The transcript is spliced from 2 exons. NCBI's taxonomy places the organism in Eukaryota, Metazoa, Chordata, Aves, Tinamiformes, Tinamidae. The record is from RefSeq and is a predicted model, not a curated record.